GCCUGUAAGUCCGUGGUGAAAUCUCUGAGCUUAACUCGGAAACUGCCAUGGAUACUAUGGGUCUUGAAUACUCGGGAGGUGAGCGGAAUAUGUCAUGUAGCGGUGAAAUGCUUAGAUAUGACAUAGAACACCAAUUGCGAAGGCAGCUUGCUACAGAGUUAUUGACGCUGAGGCACGAAAGCGUGGGGAUCAAACAGGAUUAGAUACCCUGGUAGUCCACGCCCUAAACUAUGGAUACUCGACGUUGGCGAUAUGACUGUCAGCGUCUGAGCGAAAGCAUUAAGUAUCCCACCUGGGAAGUACGACCGCAAGGUUGAAACUCAAAGGAAUUGGCGGGGGUCCGCACAAGCGGUGGAGCAUGUGGUUUAAUUCGAUGAUACGCGAGGAACCUUACCUGGGCUAGAAUGCUAAGUGACCGCGGGUGAAAGCUCGUUUUAUAGCAAUAUACACUUAGUAAGGUGCUGCAUGGCCGUCGUCAGCUCGUGCCGUGAGGUGUUGGGUUAAGUCCCGCAACGAGCGCAACCCCCAUCAGUAGUUGCCAUCAGGUAACGCUGGGAACUCUACUGAAACUGCCGUCGUAAGACGCGAGGAAGGAGGGGAUGAUGUCAGGUCAUCAUGGCCUUUAUGCCCAGGGCUACACACGUGCUACAAUGGGAGGGACAAAGGGCUGCCACUUAGCGAUAAGGCGCCAAUCCCAAAAACCCUCUCUCAGUUCGGAUCGCAGUCUGCAACUCGACUGCGUGAA
RNAcentral lists this ribosomal RNA (745 nucleotides) under uncultured bacterium. RNAcentral describes it as "bacterial SSU rRNA". It matches the Rfam family "Bacterial small subunit ribosomal RNA", at positions 579 to 1324 of the family's 1533-position model. The record is from RNAcentral.